This 361-nucleotide long non-coding RNA is filed under the name Elaeis guineensis (African oil palm). RNAcentral's name for it is "long non-coding RNA (EGUI_LNC045736)". Lineage: Eukaryota; Viridiplantae; Streptophyta; Magnoliopsida; Arecales; Arecaceae. The record is from RNAcentral.
AGCCAGACAUCCACUCAUCAUUCAUUCCAUCUUCCCAUUAAUAAACUUCUCCCACAUCACAUCACCAGGGAAGCUUUCCAUUGUUUAGUCCUUAUUUCCAUGGUUUCCUCCAUCGUUCCACUAACUUUCCAUUAAAAUAUUCCCACUUACCUUCUUCUCUUCAUUCCCACCAUUAAAAUACUCCUUCCCCACUUCCAUAUCCUUUCUUCAUCCAAUAUAAUUUUCAGUCUUCUCCUUUCCACAAGAUUCCUCCAUAGAAGUCCCAAACUUUGUCAUUUGAGCCGUUAACUCAUGUGAGUUUUAUAAAUAAGUGUGCUUAUUAUGUGAUUACUCAUGUAUUAGCAUAUAUUAGCAUUUGUGG